RNAcentral lists this long non-coding RNA (534 nucleotides) under Mus musculus (house mouse). RNAcentral describes it as "predicted gene, 56862". Lineage: Eukaryota; Metazoa; Chordata; Mammalia; Rodentia; Muridae. The record is from RNAcentral.
GGAAAGCAUUAAGUAAGACUUUGUUUGUAAGACAACAAACUUGACCAGUGUCCUCAGCCAAGGAAAAAUGAUACUGCAACUUUAAAUUUUAAAGUACCUUGCACUGAUAAAUAUAUUUAAAAGUUAUAUGUUUAUAAAGUUAUUAAUUUGUAAAGGCAGUGUUACAAAAUGUUCAGUUUAUAUUGUUUUAGAUUGUUUCGUAAUUUUUAAAGGUGUAAAAUAACAUAUUUUUUCUUUAUUGAAAUCUAUAAGACUUUCCGUAGUAAGAUGUCUCAUUUUCUGGUAUAUUAUUGCUUCAUGUUUUGUACCCUCAUAAAAUUUUGUGCAAAUUUUUUUUACAGAAAUUUUUAUUUUCUAUGAUGAUAUGUAUGACACUUGUAAAUUGUUUCAAAAUGAACAGCGAAGCCUUAACUUGAAAUGACAUUUGUAUUCUCUGAGUAGCAUAAAAACCACCUAGAAUGAACUGUAACUUAAUCUCGAAACUACACAUUCCAAAGAAGCAGUUGAAUUAAACGUUUUCAUAAAAAUCCCAAA